RNAcentral lists this unclassified non-coding RNA (350 nucleotides) under soil metagenome. RNAcentral describes it as "partial contains 5.8S ribosomal RNA, internal transcribed spacer 2, and large subunit ribosomal RNA". The stretch from base 1 to 120 matches the Rfam family "5.8S ribosomal RNA", at positions 35 to 154 of the family's 154-position model. The record is from RNAcentral.
GAUGAAGAACGUAGCGAAAUGCGAUAAGUAAUGUGAAUUGCAGAAUUCAGUGAAUCAUCGAGUCUUUGAACGCACAUUGCGCCCCCUGGUAUUCCGGGGGGCAUGCCUGUCCGAGCGUCAUUGCUGCCCUCAAGCACGGCUUGUGUGUUGGGCCCCCGUCCCCGGUUCUCCCCGGGGACGGGCCCGAAAGGCAGCGGCGGCACCGCGUCCGAUCCUCGAGCGUAUGGGGCUUUGUCACCCGCUCUGUAGGCCCGGCCGGCGCCAGCCGACACCCCAACUUUAUUUUCUAAGGUUGACCUCGCAUCAGGUAGGGAUACCCGCUGAACUUAAGCAUAUCAAUAAGCGGAGGA